AGCGCCGCUCUCGGCCCUUUGGCUAAGAUCAAGUGAAGUAUCUGUUCUUAUCAGUUUAAAAAAAAUAAAAAAAAUAAAAAAAUAAAUUCAGCGCCGCAAUUUCUAAAUCAGUUCACGACAUGGAUGUGUCUCUGGCAUCAGCACUCUGACACAUAUUAUAUAAUUAUUAUUAUAUUUGUGAAAAUGGAAGAAGAUGCUUU
Centropristis striata (black sea bass) is the source of this 200-nucleotide small nuclear RNA. RefSeq annotates it as U2 spliceosomal RNA. The transcript has a single exon. The record is from RefSeq and is a predicted model, not a curated record. NCBI's taxonomy places the organism in Eukaryota, Metazoa, Chordata, Actinopteri, Perciformes, Serranidae.